GUCCCUACGGGGGGCAGCAGUGGGAAAUAUUGCACAAUGGGGGAAACCCUGAUGCAGCAACGCCGCGUGAGUGAAGAAGUCAUUCGUGAUGUAAAGCUCUAUCAGCAGGGAAGAAAAUGACGGUACCUGACUAAGAAGCCCCGGCUAACUACGUGCCAGCAGCCGCGGUAAUACGUAGGGGGCAAGCGUUAUCCGGAUUUACUGGGUGUAAAGGGAGCGUAGACGGCAGAGCAAGUCUGAAGUGAAAGCCCGCGGCCCAACUGCGGGACUGCUUUGGACACUGCCCGGCUAGAGUGCUGGAGUGG
Molecule: ribosomal RNA, 305 nt
Filed under: uncultured bacterium
Lineage: Bacteria
Description: bacterial SSU rRNA
Rfam family: Bacterial small subunit ribosomal RNA
Source: RNAcentral